CACGUAGGGGACGAGCGUUGUCCGGAUUCAUUGGGCGUAAAGCGCGCGUAGGCGGCUCGGAAAGUCGGUCGUGAAAUGCCGGGGCUCAACCCCGAGACGCCAUCCGAUACUGCUGUGGCUUGAGUCUGGUAGGGGAGAACGGAAUUCCUGGUGUAGCGGUGAAAUGCGCAGAUAUCAGGAGGAACACCGGUGGCGAAGGCGGUUCUCUGGGCCAGUACUGACGCUGAGGAGCGAAAGCGUGGGUAGCAAACAGG
This 254-nucleotide ribosomal RNA is filed under the name uncultured bacterium. RNAcentral describes it as "partial 16S ribosomal RNA". It matches the Rfam family "Bacterial small subunit ribosomal RNA", at positions 524 to 776 of the family's 1533-position model. The record is from RNAcentral.